AAGGAGGAGCUGUCGCGCCACCACCGUCGUCUCACUUGCGGCAUCACCACCGUCCGUCGCGCCGCCACCACACUGCGUUGCCGCCGAAAACAGAGACGCGAAGGAGAGGAGGCCGCGGGUCACUGUCCUUGAAGCUUCUGUCGUCACCGUGCAGAGCCGCCGCCACCGUCAUCAUCGCGGGCUGCUGCUACUGCGCGGGUGAUUGUCGCCGCCUUUGGGUCCAUCACCAUCGAGCAGAGCCACCGGGGAGAACCAUAGUUGUCGCUGAAGCUCCAGUCGCCGUCAGAAGCUGCUGCCGACGCCGAUCUGCAUGCGCCGUCACCGUUGAGAUCCUCCGCUGUCAUUGACGACCCAGCCGCCACCAAUCUGGUCCGAGAGAGAGGAGAUGUGAAUAGAAGAGAAGGCGGAGAGCCACCGCCGCUGCUGCUGAGUCACCGAAGCUGCUGGACUGAGCUUCUGCCGCCUGAAACCCGCUGCCGUCGCCGGAAAAAGCACUGCCAUUGUCGUCGUCGGAAUUCGUUGCCACCACCACCAUUAGAGGCGAACCCAGUUAUUUUCUCGCAGCCGAAGGUAUUACCGUCACUGCUCUGGUUCAAUUUUGUAUUGCUAUCGCUGCUGUUGACUUGCCCCAAUUCAAGUUUAGUGUCACUGCCUUUGUUUUAGCCUUUCUCUUGACUCUGUUUCACUUUUAUACUCUGAACUGCCUUGGUCUCGUUUAUCUUUUUGUUAUGGUUUUAAUUCCAUUCUAGUUUCGGUGUCGCUUUGAAUUUUUAGAGUUGUUUAUGCGUUUGAUUCCAUCAAAUUCUAAUCUAUUGUUGUUGCUGUGAGCGAAAUCGGAGUUGGUGAUGCUGCCAUCAUCCCUGUUGUGUUGGAAUCGCCACUGCUGCUGUGAGUUUAAACUAAGCGGGACUGUUGUGUUAAACUAUGCGAUUGCGACAUCGAGCUUUACCUUUUCAGGAACCGGAUGAAGAAGCAUUAAGAAGAAUUAUAUUGCGUUUAGUUUAUAUGUUGUUCUGUUAAUUAGAUUAUUUUCUUCCCUCGUCUUUUUUUAUAAGAGGGAUAGGAGUUGUAUGUUUUAUAUGUAUAUUAUGUUAUGAGAUAUUAUGUAAGGAGUC
This is a non-coding RNA of Arachis ipaensis, 1115 nucleotides long. The record is from RefSeq and is a predicted model, not a curated record. Lineage: Eukaryota; Viridiplantae; Streptophyta; Magnoliopsida; Fabales; Fabaceae.